UUGGAGGGCAAGUCUGGUGCCAGCAGCCGCGGUAAUUCCAGCUCCAAUAGCGUAUAUUAAAGUUGUUGCAGUUAAAAAGCUCGUAGUUGAAUUUCGGGAUCAAUUUUAUUGGUCGUGCUAUUGUACGUACUGGUAUUAUUGAUUCCUACCUUCUGACGAACCAUGAUGUCAUUAAUUUGGUGUCAUGGGGAAUCAGGACUGUUACUUUGAAAAAAUUAGAGUGUUUAAAGCAGGCUCACGCUUGAAUACAUUAGCAUGGAAUAACGAAAUAGGACGUUUGAUUCUAUUUUGUUGGUUUCUAGGAUCGACGUAAUGAUUAAUGGGGAUAGUUGGGGGCAUUAGUAUUCAAUUGUCAGAGGUGAAAUUCUUGGAUUUAUUGAAGACUAACUACUGCGAAAGCAUUUGCCAAGGAUGUUUUCAUUAAUCAAGAACGAAAGUUAGGGGAUCGAAGACGAUCAGAUACCGUCGUAGUCUUAACCAUAAACUAUGCCGACUAGGGAUCGGAUGAUGUUAAUUUUUUAAUGACUCAUUCGGCGCCUUACGGGAAACA
This 550-nucleotide ribosomal RNA is filed under the name uncultured Glomus. Its description in RNAcentral is "SSU rRNA". It matches the Rfam family "Eukaryotic small subunit ribosomal RNA", at positions 548 to 1099 of the family's 1831-position model. The record is from RNAcentral. Lineage: Eukaryota; Fungi; Glomeromycota; Glomeromycetes; Glomerales; Glomeraceae.